AUUCCUUAACAAAGCUACCAGAUAACGAUGACAUGGUAAAUUGGACAUGCGAGCUCCAUGGGCCAUCUCAUACAUGAUGUCCAUUACUGUUACAACCUUAUUUCCACAAUGUUUGGGUCUGAAUUAAGUCCAAAACUAUGACCCAUGCGCAAUAACAUCCUUCAUUUAUUUUUCCUUUUUAGUCCUUUUUGAAUAAGCCCAUCCUUGAGUUCUUGGAGGGCCUAUCUCCAGUCACAGUAUACCACUCUCCUGGAAAGGUGAUGAGUUCAGUGGAAGAUACACUUAACCAAACAAGGCCUAUUCUAGUUGUUUUAAACGUACUCCAAGAUUGUUUUGGCAUAUCUCUCUGAUUUUGCUUGUGAUGUUCCCCGUUUUAGCCGAAAGUUCUCUCCCUCUCAAAUGGGUUUCCCCUGCUUCCUUGGGACGAGAGAAGAUUCUGUCCUUCACUUUUCCAACUAUAGAUUUUUCGUUUCCACUCCGGGGGAACUGUAAUAGCAAUGUUUUUGUUGGUUCUUCGAUUGCAGACUGUGUUGGGAUUCAUCUUAAAGACAUGAAUACAAGUUUUAUUCUCUUAUGCUUGUGGUGGUGGUGGUUUUGUGGUUUUUGCGCUUUGCGGAUAGUGGAGGCUCAUAUCCAUUGCUUUUUUCCUCUCUGACCAAACAAAUGGUCGACCCUCAACUGUUGAUUUCUUCUUUGCUGUGAUCACGAGGACGAUUCUACUAUUGAACAUGGGUCUGAUCGGCGUUGCACCCUUCGUUUUGGAUGGCUUUUAAGCUCUUGGUUGUAAGUCGAUAUCCUAUUGUUCUGGCAGGGAGAUCAUAAGUGAUGGUUUUUUUAGACCUAGUUUAAGAUUGGAUGAAAGUGUCCAUACCAAGUUUUUUUCUACAGUAUUUUUUCAUAAAAUUUAUAGUUCUCAUUUAAAAAAAAAAAAAACAAAAACCUUCAUCAUCCUUGUUACUGUUGUGUGUUGAUGAGCAUGAAUAAUUUCUCACAAAAAUAUGAAACAAUAAAACAAAUCAAAACCCUGUUAAUGUUUUGACAAACAAACAUCCAACAUUGACGAAAUCCAAAAGCUUACAUAAUAGAAUCACAUGCUUCAAUGACACACAUACAUGACAACUCCAUUAACAUCGUCCACAUAAAUUAAAUCAUUACUAACAAAUACUUGGAUACAUUAAUUUCUAUCAAAUUAGGUCAUCACUCAAAGCUCAUAUUGGUAGGACCUGCAAAACCAGGAUAAAAAGAAACAUGAUGUUCAUGAUUGUCUAAUUACUAACAAAAAAUACAGAUGAUUAUAUAAAUACAUAUAUUCCCAUUUCCCAUUGGCAGACAUGGCAAACCCAGUAAGUUAAAUAACCUGGGCCACAGUUGGACUGCAAUAGAGGAUGAGACUCCUUUCGUCUGCCAUUUCGUAACAAGAUCAUUGGCAUGUUUCUAAUUUUGACUCCUUCCUCAUUGGAUUCAUCUUUCAAGUUUUUAUUUAUUUAUAUAUUUAUUUUCUUGGAGGGUCCCCUUAUUCAUAUCCUUCGAAAAUGACAG
This 1539-nucleotide long non-coding RNA is filed under the name Manihot esculenta (cassava). RNAcentral's name for it is "long non-coding RNA (MESC_LNC002618)". The record is from RNAcentral. Lineage: Eukaryota; Viridiplantae; Streptophyta; Magnoliopsida; Malpighiales; Euphorbiaceae.